Molecule: long non-coding RNA, 2475 nt
Organism: Rhipicephalus sanguineus (brown dog tick)
Lineage: Eukaryota; Metazoa; Arthropoda; Arachnida; Ixodida; Ixodidae
Exons: 3
Source: RefSeq, a predicted model, not a curated record
GGAUCGCGCACGCUACUUCGACUGCUCCCGCUUGCGCCUGCUUGGCGGUUUCGUGCGCGUGUAUCGUGGACCAAGUUUUCUCAUGAAUUCGGACAGCUUUUACUGCAAUGCAGGAUGGAGUACACCUCAGCUUUUAAGACAUCACAGCCAACUCGGCAUUCACAAAUGCAACUUCUCAUGCAAUCAGAGGCCAAGGCAGUGUGGCUGAAGAACUGCACCUUGAGAGAACAGUCUGCUGCUAAAAAACACUGGGAUGGUCCAGCUAUCCAGCAACUGAGGACGGUGAGAAGUCACAGCAUGGACACCGCCACUGCUGUAACUCCUGUGACUAUGAGACUGGGUACUUGUCCAGUAUGAAAAAGCACAUCAGGGUUCAUACAGGCGAGCGGCCAUGUCAGUGUCACCUGUGUCCUCGGAGCUUCUCACGUAAAGACCAUUUGAUACGUCACCUGCGUGCCCACAGACAGGAGCGGCCACACAAGUGCCACGUGUGUUCCCAGAGCUUCUCUCAAAAGUCUAUAUUGAGAGAUCAUCUGCACAUGCACACAGGCGACCAGCCGCAUAAGUGCCCCUUAUGUCCUCAGACGUUUGCAUGGAAAAACAGCUUAAACAGGCACUUGCGCACACACAAACGCAAGUGAACAUUUCAGUGGGACUUCUGCUAAUUCCUGUUUUUAGAGGCACGUUCGCCUAAAGUCCCCGAAAAAUAACUGCUAAAGUGGCGCCAUUCAUGUCACUGUUGUAGAGGCAUGUCCUCUCAAGUGCACUUUGCAGAUUUUAAAUGAAGUCGGUUAAGGUGCAAAGCUCGCAAAUCAUAGCUCUUGGCUGGAAGAGGGGCUUGUGCAAUUUUUCCACUAGAGUGCACGAGGGUGCUGGGUUUCUAAGCGGCUCAGUGGGAAAGGUCCGCGAAAUAAAAUGGAAAGAAUAACGAUAAGUACAACAAUGCGAUGUAUACAGAAGCAAGUGGCGUACUUUCGUGGUAUCCAAAAGUAAAAAUGUACGGAACGUAAUCAAAGAGUACACGAAAGUGCUCGCUCCUGAUGGCAUGGCAACUGCAAACUCGACGGCGCUAAGAAAGCGCUAGCUUUCAACAAUUGCAUUAGACUAUACUUCCAAGUGUGAUAGUCUAGCUUUUUAGAAAGUCGUGCAAGCGCCAUAUUGCUUGUCUGUGUCUGGGUUGGUUGCUGGAUCAUUGCACGGUGUGUGGUCUGUUUGUACGGUGGUUCGGCAUGCUUCGAUACGCCGGCUUGCUAUGCCAACGAUAGCAAAAACAGAUACAACAGCAGAAAGAAGCUUUUUUCACUACUGCGAGAAAAAUCUGUAGUUUCUUGGUGGACACCCUAGAGGCACUGCUGCAGCUGCUAGGCGUGGAAGCAAAGGUGAAUGGGACGCAGUUGGCGCUACUUUAUACUUUUCGGGGACUUUACAUCUGACUGGUCUUUUACAGCACUCUGACAGUGCUUAGUUUGGUAUGAAAACUUAAAGCAUAACUUUAUUAGUGACAGCGCAGCUUCAUCAUUGCCUCUAGAGCAUUGUGAUGCAUAGCAUAAAAUAUAUCAACUAGAGUUAAUUACUUUUUGCUGGGCUCCUUUACAGCAUUCUUAUGUAACCGGUUGAAGGUGCCAUAUGUCGCAUUUUCAAGAAAGAUGUGUCCAUUGUAAUGAGCGAACACACCUCUGCAUUGCCAAUUCCAAACCUUUUCUACUAGCCACUUACCUGAGCCAACACGAAGAUGCAGUACCUUUACAAUAUCAGUCAGGUCACCAGCCAUGUUUGAAUUAAAGGUCUGCAUGCGUGUGCAAUAUGUUAUGUUGCAUUAUGUUUUUAAAUGUUCAAUGUGUUUCUAGGUUAUGUGGGUGUCCUGUAGUAAUUCUCCUACCUAUUUAAAUAUAGCUUCGCAUUAAGAGAUGUCUGUGAGAGCAUAAGAAAAGCUUAUUAUGUGUUGUUUUUCUAAUGUGUUAUCUUAGUAAACUACAGGAAUGUCCUUUAUGGGUGAAGUGGAAGGGAUAUUUUGAUACCUUGCCUUAUGGGACCUAAGCAGCACUGAACUUUUUGAAAGGCAACCUGUGUCACUCUGCUAAGCUAGAGGGUGUGGGUGCGAUUGCCGGCCACGGCAGCCACAUUUCUAGAGAGGCUAAAUAGAAGAGCAUCAGUGUACUUAGAUUUAGAUGCAUGUUAAAAAAAAAACCAGGUGGUGAAAUUUGAUGUGGAGUCCCCUACUAAGAUGUGCCUCAUAAUCAUAUCGCAGUUAAUUAAAUAUUAUUAUUAAGAACAUGAACAGUGUGGAUCCACAAAUCUGUUUCAUUAUGUCACUGGGAUUUUUGUGUUCUUGCUGGAGUGUUUCUUUCAAUAUAAUUUUCUAGCUCAACAGAUGCCUCCUGUACUUUAUAUCAUUUUGUCAUUUACUUACGCUUUUUCUCAAGCAACACAUCAAAGCACUUACAUAGCACUUGUUCACCAAAGAUUUCUCUUAUG